AAUUAACUGGUCUAAAUUAAGACAUUUACUUUGAAAGUAAAAGAUAAUGCUAAAUGAAUUGUUAAUUU
This 68-nucleotide transfer RNA is filed under the name Halipeurus diversus. Its description in RNAcentral is "tRNA-Ser". Lineage: Eukaryota; Metazoa; Arthropoda; Insecta; Psocodea; Philopteridae. The record is from RNAcentral.